Molecule: transfer RNA, 70 nt
Filed under: Ictidomys tridecemlineatus (thirteen-lined ground squirrel)
Lineage: Eukaryota; Metazoa; Chordata; Mammalia; Rodentia; Sciuridae
Description: Spermophilus tridecemlineatus (thirteen-lined ground squirrel) tRNA
Rfam family: tRNA
About the family: Transfer RNA (tRNA) molecules are approximately 80 nucleotides in length. Their secondary structure includes four short double-helical elements and three loops (D, anti-codon, and T loops).
Source: Rfam by way of RNAcentral
GGAGGUGUAGCUUAGUGGUAGAAUUUUUGCCUAGCAUGCAGGGCCCUAGGUUCAAUUCCCAGCACCCCCC